This 387-nucleotide ribosomal RNA is filed under the name Coelotinae sp. ZZ218. RNAcentral describes it as "partial 16S ribosomal RNA". The record is from RNAcentral. Lineage: Eukaryota; Metazoa; Arthropoda; Arachnida; Araneae; Agelenidae.
CUCAAUGAAAUUAAAUAGCCGCAAUUUUAUUGUGCUAAGGUAGCAUAAUCAUUUGUUUUUUAAUUAAAAACUAGAACGAAAGAUUUAACAUUUAUAUUUCUUUCUUGUAUGAAAUUAUUUAAUCUAUUUCAAAUAUAAAAAAAUAUUUAUCCAACAAAAAGACAACAAGACCCUAUUGAACUUAACUAAAGUUAAACUGGGGAAGUUAAUUAAAUAUAACUUUAAUUUAAAUAAAAAAAUAACCUAAUUUAAUUAAUCAUCAAGUUACCAUAGGGAUAACAGCGCAAUAAUUUUCACAAGAUCUUAUUUAAAAACUUGAUUACGACCUCGAUGUUGAAUUAAUAAUCUAUUAUACGCAAUAAUAUAACAAGAAAGUCUGUUCGACUU